Molecule: ribosomal RNA, 397 nt
Filed under: uncultured bacterium
Lineage: Bacteria
Description: partial 16S ribosomal RNA
Rfam family: Bacterial small subunit ribosomal RNA
Source: RNAcentral
AUACGUAGGGGGCGAGCGUUGUCCGGAAUGAUUGGGCGUAAAGGGCGCGUAGGCGGCGCGGUAAGUCUGGAGUGAAAGUCCUGCUUUCAAGGUGGGAAUUGCUUUGGAUACUGCCGCGCUUGAGUGCAGGAGAGGUUAUCGGAAUUCCCGGUGUAGCGGUGAAAUGCGUAGAGAUUGGGAGGAACACCAGUGGCGAAGGCGACUUACUGGACUGUAACUGACGCUGAGGCGCGAAAGUGUGGGGAGCAAACAGGAUUAGAUACCCUGGUAGUCCACACUGUAAACGAUGAAUGCUAGGUGUAGGGGGUAUCGACCCCUUUUGUGCCGGAGUCAACACAAUAAGCAUUCCGCCUGGGGAGUACGGCCGCAAGGUUGAAACUCAAAUGAAUUGACGGGG